This 626-nucleotide ribosomal RNA is filed under the name Salmonella enterica. RNAcentral's name for it is "partial 23S ribosomal RNA". It matches the Rfam family "Bacterial large subunit ribosomal RNA", at positions 711 to 1250 of the family's 2925-position model. Lineage: Bacteria; Pseudomonadati; Pseudomonadota; Gammaproteobacteria; Enterobacterales; Enterobacteriaceae. The record is from RNAcentral. RNAcentral also lists the same sequence under 3 other names.
AGACCCGAAACCCGGUGAUCUAGCCAUGGGCAGGUUGAAGGUUGGGUAACACUAACUGGAGGACCGAACCGACUAAUGUUGAAAAAUUAGCGGAUGACCUGUGGCUGGGGGUGAAAGGCCAAUCAAACCGGGAGAUAGCUGGUUCUCCCCGAAAGCUAUUUAGGUAGCGCCUCGUGAAUUCAUCUCCGGGGGUAGAGCACUGUUUCGGCUAGGGGGCCAUCCCGGCUUACCAACCCGAUGCAAACUGCGAAUACCGGAGAAUGUUAUCACGGGAGACACACGGCGGGUGCUAACGUCCGUCGUGAAGAGGGAAACAACCCAGACCGCCAGCUAAGGUCCCAAAGUCAUGGUUAAGUGGGAAACGAUGUGGGAAGGCCCAGACAGCCAGGAUGUUGGCUUAGAAGCAGCCAUCAUUUAAAGAAAGCGUAAUAGCUCACUGGUCGAGUCGGCCUGCGCGGAAGAUGUAACGGGGCUAAACCAUGCACCGAAGCUGCGGCAGCGAACGUAUCACCCAAGACAACUUUACGGAGUUGACGAUUGACGGAGCGAAGCGACGUCAAAGCGUUCAUUAAAGUCGAGUUGGCUUAGGGAUACGUUCGUUGGGUAGGGGAGCGUUCUGUAAGCCU